Molecule: ribosomal RNA, 422 nt
Filed under: uncultured bacterium
Lineage: Bacteria
Description: bacterial SSU rRNA
Rfam family: Bacterial small subunit ribosomal RNA
Source: RNAcentral
UGAGGAAUAUUGGUCAAUGGGCGCGAGCCUGAACCAGCCAAGUCGCGUGAGGGAGUACUGCCCUAUGGGUUGUAAACCUCUUUUGUCGGGGAGCAAAAACGGAACGAGUUCCGAUUUGAGAGUACCCGAAGAAAAAGCAUCGGCUAACUCCGUGCCAGCAGCCGCGGUAAUACGGAGGAUGCGAGCGUUAUCCGGAUUUAUUGGGUUUAAAGGGUGCGUAGGCGGAUUAUUAAGUCAGCGGUAAAAUCGUGGGGCUCAACCCCAUCCAGCCGUUGAAACUGGUGAUCUGGAGUGAGCGAGAGGUAUGCGGAAUGCGUGGUGUAGCGGUGAAAUGCAUAGAUAUCACGCAGAACCCCGAUUGCGAAGGCAGCAUACCGGUGCUCAACUGACGCUGAGGCACGAAAGCGUGGGGAUCGAACAGG